RNAcentral lists this ribosomal RNA (352 nucleotides) under uncultured bacterium. Its description in RNAcentral is "bacterial SSU rRNA". It matches the Rfam family "Bacterial small subunit ribosomal RNA", at positions 917 to 1269 of the family's 1533-position model. The record is from RNAcentral.
GGGCCCGCACAAGCGGUGGAGCAUGUGGUUUAAUUCGAUGCAACGCGAAAAACCUUACCUACCCUUGACAUAGUCAGAACUUACCAGAGAUGGUUCGGUGCCGAAAGGAACUGACAUACAGGUGCUGCAUGGCUGUCGUCAGCUCGUGUCGUGAGAUGUUGGGUUAAGUCCCGUAACGAGCGCAACCCUUAUCCUUAGUUGCCAGCGAUUUGGUCGGGGACUCUAAGGAGACUGCCGGUGAUAAACCGGAGGAAGGCGGGGACGACGUCAAGUCAUCAUGGCCCUUACGGGUAGGGCUACACACGUGCUACAAUGGCAGGUACAGAGGGCAGCGAAGCGGUGACGUGGAGCG